GGUAGAGAAGAGUCAGUGGCUGGUGAAGUAAGAGGGAUACAGCUGUCUGCUGAUUCAAGGUCCCUGCCCCGUCGCCUCAACAUCCUCAAGAUCCUGUAGGCUACUGCUGCUGCUCCUUGCUUCAGCACCUUUCCCCUGAUGCCUGACACCCCUCAUCACCAAAUCAGCCCAGUCAACAUGGACCCAAAAUGGACCCAAGUCUCCACCACAGUGUGCACAAUACACUAUACACAGACAGGGACGAGAACAAAGGUACAAUUGGUCUGAGGGGAGGACACCGCAGACAGCUGAUCAACUCCAUGUCAUCUAAUCAGGCCAUGUAAAGGACCAUGAAGGGAUGGACUUGGUGGAGGACAACAAUGUGACACCUGAAAAGAGCACAUGGAGAUCUCUCAUCCUCAUCCCUCAUGCUUAUAUUGCAUUUCAUAUAGGCCUAGAUUCUGAUGGUCUUGUAAAUGUUUGUUACACAAGUCAGAAAUUGUUGUCUUUGAUUAUUUAAUUUGAUUAUAAUAAAUGGAAAUAUAUUUUAUUGAAAAAUA
Long non-coding RNA from Sardina pilchardus (European sardine), 539 nucleotides. RefSeq lists it as uncharacterized. The record is from RefSeq and is a predicted model, not a curated record. The transcript has 2 exons. Lineage: Eukaryota; Metazoa; Chordata; Actinopteri; Clupeiformes; Clupeidae.